UAUNGGACAAUGGGGGGAACCCUGAUCCAGCNACGCCGCGUGAGUGAAGAAGUAUCUCGGUAUGUAUAGCACUAUCAGCAGGGAAGAAAGCAAUGACGGUAACUGAGGAAGACGCCCCGGCUAACUACGUGCCAGCAGCCGCGGUAAUACGUAGGGGGCAAGCGUUAUCCGGAAUUACUGGGUGUAAAGGGAGCGUAGACGGUGAAGUAAGUCUGGAGUGAAAGGCGGGGGCCCAACCCCCGGACUGCUCUGGAAACUAUUUGACUGGAGUGCAGGAGAGGUAAGCGGAAUUCCUAGUGUAGCGGUGAAAUGCGUAGAUAUUAGGAGGAACACCAGUGGCGAAGGCGGCUUACUGGACUGUAACUGACGUUGAGGCUCGAAAGCGUGGGGAGCAAACAGG
RNAcentral lists this ribosomal RNA (400 nucleotides) under uncultured bacterium. Its description in RNAcentral is "bacterial SSU rRNA". It matches the Rfam family "Bacterial small subunit ribosomal RNA", at positions 362 to 776 of the family's 1533-position model. The record is from RNAcentral.